CUUUUGCACUAAAAAGGACUUUUAAUUCAACAUCGAGGUCUCAAACUCAUCUGUCAAUUAGAGCUAUCUAAAUGAAUAAAGCUGUUAUCCCUAAAGUAACUUGUUCUUCUUUUAAAAUUUUUAGAUAUUAAGAUUUAAAAUCUUUCAAAAACAGAAAAAGGUUAAUUUUUUCCACCGCCCCAGUGAAAUAUUUAUUCUCUUUUCUUAAAGAAAAUCAAAUAUAAAGUUUUAUAGGGUCUUCUCGUCUUUAAGAAAUAUUUUAGCCUUUUUACUAAAAAGUCAACUUCAUAUUCUUUUCUUAAAAAAAUCUUUUCCAGUUUACCCUUUCAUUCCAG
RNAcentral lists this ribosomal RNA (335 nucleotides) under Mesobuthus eupeus (lesser Asian scorpion). Its description in RNAcentral is "partial 16S ribosomal RNA". Lineage: Eukaryota; Metazoa; Arthropoda; Arachnida; Scorpiones; Buthidae. The record is from RNAcentral.